UCCCAGUUCAUUCUGAUUUUGAAAGGAACUUCCAGGUCUCCAGUUCAUGCCAGGGACCAAAGAAGGAGAAAAAACUCUUCCACCUAUUGCAGCAGCUUCACCAACAUUACAAGAAUCAACCAUACCAGAUCCAUCAUUAAUCUUGCCAGUCUGAGGCAAGAUCAUUCGAUUACUUAAUGGGGAAGUCAAGGGUUGGACCAUUCCAC
This 206-nucleotide unclassified non-coding RNA is filed under the name Hevea brasiliensis (rubber tree). Lineage: Eukaryota; Viridiplantae; Streptophyta; Magnoliopsida; Malpighiales; Euphorbiaceae. The record is from RNAcentral.